Molecule: small nucleolar RNA, 129 nt
Organism: Bufo bufo (common toad)
Lineage: Eukaryota; Metazoa; Chordata; Amphibia; Anura; Bufonidae
Product: small nucleolar RNA SNORA63
Exons: 1
Source: RefSeq, a predicted model, not a curated record
CUGCAGGAUAAGUUACAGUACAGCUGUUAAGUGCUGUUCUGUCGUUCCCCCUGCAAACAAUAAAUUGCUUCCUACUAUCCCUGUUUGUCUUGACCCUCACAGCAGAUGGGGACGCUUGGUCUCAAACAA